Astyanax mexicanus (Mexican tetra) is the source of this 1473-nucleotide long non-coding RNA. RefSeq lists it as uncharacterized. The transcript is spliced from 2 exons. The record is from RefSeq and is a predicted model, not a curated record. Lineage: Eukaryota; Metazoa; Chordata; Actinopteri; Characiformes; Acestrorhamphidae.
GACAGGCAGAGCUGUUACUGGGCUCUGGGUUAACCAUUUUGGGCUUGGAUGGCCACCGUAGUGGAGGAGCAGCGGCUCCCCCUCCCCUCUGUGUUGUGCUAGAAAUGCUAGUUAGCUCAGUAUAAAAGCAUGGAUAGCAUGCUGCUGUGUUGAGCUUGUGGUUUCCUUUGUUGCUGGGUCGUGUUACUGCAGGACUUGCUGCUGGGUGGUUUCCUAAGGGGUGGUCUGCCGGAAAACGGGUGUGAAUGCGGUUAGCGGUUAGCCGUUAGCAUCAGCUAACUCUGGGCAUCGUCGCAUAAAACUGCAGCUUGGUGUGGAUGUGGAGCUGUAUUGGAUGCAAGGUGUAUGCUCUGGCGUGCCGGAAAACGGGUGUGAACGCGGUUAGCGGUUAGCCGUUAGCAUCAGCUAACUCUGGGCAUCGUCGCAUAAAACUGCAGCUUGGUGUGGAUGUGGAGCUGUAUUGGAUGCAAGGUGUAUGCUCUGGCGUGCCGGAAAACAGAUUGGAGCAGGAACCCUGGGUGUAUUCUAGCCCAAGCAAGUGAUAAUUCAAGCCUACAGGUAUUGUUUGCUUGAUAGUUAUAGAGCUAACUCUCCCAAGCUAUCUGUCUAGUGCAAUUAUUUUAAUUAAUGUGUUUUUAUCAGGUGUUCAGCUGAAGUGUCGCCAUCGGAGAAGGCUGAGGUGGCACCAAGCCGAGCAGUCCCUAGUCUUCUGCUGUUUUGCCUAUGCUGUUUUGUUGGGGUUGAAUUAAUUUAAGAUUUAUUCAUUUAUUUUGUUCUUUUUAUUUCUGGGUGUUUAUUAUUUGUAUUAAAAAGACUGUUUUGUUUUCUUUUCUUUUUUUCCUUUUUUUUUGUUUCUGUUGGAAAUUGAUUUUGUUAUUUGUAUUUUUGUUAACUUGACCCCACCUUGUGUCAAUGGUGGCAGACCUCUUUGGGCCCUCCUAUAGGAAGCUGGCUGUUUAUUUGUUAGUGAUACUGGCCGUAAACUAAAUGGAAAAUUAAUAAGUAUAACAUUUAUUGUUACUAAUCUGUUUCUCUUUCUUGUAGAACAACUUGGUGCACGUGGUGUCCCCCUUGGGCCGACUGGUUACCUCCUCCUUGGGAAAUCUUUCCUUUUGCACUUGGUUUGCUGUGUUGGACUCACCCUUGGUUUGAGGUGUUGCGACGUGUGUGGGUGUGUGUGAGUACUCUGUGUGUGCUUGCAGAGGUUGUAUUUCUCCUUGGGAGAGAGGGCCCGGGCACAAGAAUUGUCCAGCACCAGUUAGCUACAGAAAGAUGAUAAUGCUAUGUUAAGACUCUAAACAGCCAGUAUCUCUAAUAUCCUUUUUUUUAAGCGCAUUUUGUCCCAAGGCUCAGUGUAUACUUUUAAAGUUGUUUUUUAAAAAAAAACUUUAAUUGCUUAAUAAAGUGUUCUUCUGUAUUUCAUGUAUCUACUAUUUCAAACUUGAAUAAGUAAAGAUUUUAUGCUGAACCUCA